UCUGGGUGCGGUGGCGCAUGCCUGUAAUCCCAGAAGCUGGGGAGGCUGAGACAAGAGGAUCCCAAGUUCAAAGCCAGCCUCAGCACUAGCGAGGUGCUAAGCAACUUAGUGAGACCCUGUCUCUA
Molecule: small RNA, 125 nt
Filed under: Marmota monax (woodchuck)
Lineage: Eukaryota; Metazoa; Chordata; Mammalia; Rodentia; Sciuridae
Source: RNAcentral